RNAcentral lists this long non-coding RNA (737 nucleotides) under Cervus hanglu yarkandensis (Yarkand deer). Its description in RNAcentral is "lncRNA (ENSCHYG00000004207.1)". Lineage: Eukaryota; Metazoa; Chordata; Mammalia; Artiodactyla; Cervidae. The record is from RNAcentral.
GGGCGGGGGCGGGGCGGGGCGGGGUGGGGCCCGAUGGGUCAAUUGGCCUCCGGGGUGGGGGGGGGUUGCUUCCUGUCCGCCUGAACUUGGCUGACCCUGGCGGCUUCCUUCUGGGCCACCAUCCUAAAAGAGGUGGGAAGGCCUUUGGAUCUCUUGGCAGACCCCAGGGUCCCUGGGCUGGGGAGGGGGCUGGAAGAGUGCUGAGGGGCAGAGCCCUGACUGCUCCUAGAAGGAAGUGUAUAUGUUUGGCACCAUACCCUGUGCCCCACCUCCUAGAGUGAAGCCCCAGGGGACUCCCCACCAGGAAUCAGCACAGCUGGAAGCCCCAGAGAGAGAGUCCCUGGCUAAAGUCCUUGUUACUGCAGCCUGAAGAGUGACCUCUUGGGGUCGUCUCAGCCCCCACGGACACCCUCAAAACAUGGAGCAUCCUCAGGCCAACCUUCCAGCCCGGAACUAUCAGGACGCCCUGGAUCAGCUCAAGCAGCACUUCCCCAGGUGAGGACAAUCCCCGGGGUCUGGAGGCACCGCUGUGGCCGGAAGUCCCACAGAGGGAAAGAACCCCAACUUUGUCUCCAUGGCCCAAAAUGCAGGACCAGUGUGGGUGGCGACCAUGUUGGAGGGUGACGCAGAAGGAAAGGAAAACCAGUAAUGCCAAUCCUGGCUUUCAUUUCAAUUUUUGACUGUGUGUGGUUCAGUGUGGAUUUGCUCUCAUUCAAUUAUAUUUUGUAAAAUACUGC